UUUCCGUUGGUGAACCUGCGGAAGGAUCAUUAAUGAGUUGUCAUGGGGUUCGAUGCUGGCAGCCAGUUUUUGGAUGCAUGUGCUUGCCCUAACAAUCAUCUUCUUCCAAACACCUGUGCACAUUUUUGAGGGAGUCUUGAGUUGGUUGCCGCUCUUGGGUGAUUUUCUCACAUUCCCUUAAAUCAUUAUACGCUAUUAACAAUGUUGAACGUGCUCUGUGCCGCAAGGCCAUUAAUAUAAUACAACUUUUAACAACGGAUCUCUUGGCUCUC
Molecule: unclassified non-coding RNA, 272 nt
Filed under: plant metagenome
Description: partial contains small subunit ribosomal RNA, internal transcribed spacer 1, and 5.8S ribosomal RNA
Source: RNAcentral